RNAcentral lists this ribosomal RNA (326 nucleotides) under uncultured eukaryote. Its description in RNAcentral is "partial 18S ribosomal RNA". It matches the Rfam family "Eukaryotic small subunit ribosomal RNA", at positions 1470 to 1796 of the family's 1831-position model. The record is from RNAcentral.
CCCUUAGAUGUCCUGGGCCGCACGCGUGCUACACUGACGCAUACAGCGAGUACUCCCGGCUCCGCAAUGGCAGCUGGUAAUCAUCAAUAUGCGUCGUGAUGGGGAUAGAUCUCUGGAAUUUUUGAUCUUGAACGAGGAAUGCCUAGUAAGCGCAGGUCAUCAGCCUGCGUUGAUUAAGUCCCUGCCCUUUGUACACACCGCCCGUCGCACCUACCGAUUGGAUGGUCCGGUGAAGCCUCGGGAUUGUGGUUCUUGCCGCUUUAUUGUGGCGUGACCGCGAGAACUUGUCUAAACCUUAUCAUCUAGAGGAAGGUGAAGUCGUAACA